UACGUAGGGUGCAAGCGUUGUCCGGAAUUAUUGGGCGUAAAGAGCUCGUAGGCGGUUUGUCGCGUCUGCUGUGAAAUCUGGGGCUCAACCCCAGCCUGCAGUGGGUACGGGCAGACUAGAGUGCGGUAGGGGAGAUUGGAAUUCCUGGUGUAGCGGUGGAAUGCGCAGAUAUCAGGAGGAACACCGAUGGCGAAGGCAGAUCUCUGGGCCGUAACUGACGCUGAGGAGCGAAAGCAUGGGGAGCGAAUAGG
This 251-nucleotide ribosomal RNA is filed under the name uncultured bacterium. Its description in RNAcentral is "partial 16S ribosomal RNA". It matches the Rfam family "Bacterial small subunit ribosomal RNA", at positions 524 to 776 of the family's 1533-position model. The record is from RNAcentral.